This 668-nucleotide ribosomal RNA is filed under the name Helicobacter pylori. RNAcentral describes it as "bacterial LSU rRNA". It matches the Rfam family "Bacterial large subunit ribosomal RNA", at positions 1430 to 2102 of the family's 2925-position model. Lineage: Bacteria; Pseudomonadati; Campylobacterota; Epsilonproteobacteria; Campylobacterales; Helicobacteraceae. The record is from RNAcentral.
UGGUUAUUUCCAUACCGACUAUGGAGCGUGAUGGGGGGACGCAUAGGGUUAAGCGAGCUAGCUGAUGGAAGCGCUAGUCUAAGGGCGUAGAUUGGAGGGAAGGCAAAUCCACCUCUGUAUUUGAAACCCAAACAGGCUCUUUGAGUCCUUUUAGGACAAAGGGAGAAUCGCUGAUACCGUCGUGCCAAGAAAAGCCUCUAAGCAUAUCCAUAGUCGUCCGUACCGCAAACCGACACAGGUAGAUGAGAUGAGUAUUCUAAGGCGCGUGAAAGAACUCUGGUUAAGGAACUCUGCAAACUAGCACCGUAAGUUCGCGAUAAGGUGUGCCACAGCGAUGUGGUCUCAGCAAAGAGUCCCUCCCGACUGUUUACCAAAAACACAGCACUUUGCCAACUCGUAAGAGGAAGUAUAAGGUGUGACGCCUGCCCGGUGCUCGAAGGUUAAGAGGAUGCGUCAGUCGCAAGAUGAAGCGUUGAAUUGAAGCCCGAGUAAACGGCGGCCGUAACUAUAACGGUCCUAAGGUAGCGAAAUUCCUUGUCGGUUAAAUACCGACCUGCAUGAAUGGCGUAACGAGAUGGGAGCUGUCUCAACCAGAGAUUCAGUGAAAUUGUAGUGGAGGUGAAAAUUCCUCCUACCCGCGGCAAGACGGAAAGACCCCGUGGACCUUU